Molecule: ribosomal RNA, 429 nt
Filed under: Bacteroidota bacterium
Lineage: Bacteria; Pseudomonadati; Bacteroidota
Description: Bacteroidetes bacterium partial 16S ribosomal RNA
Rfam family: Bacterial small subunit ribosomal RNA
Source: RNAcentral
UAGGGAAUCUUCCGCAAUGGACGCAAGUCUGACGGACCAACGCCGCGUGAGUGAAGAAGGAUUUCGGUUCGUAAAACUCUGUUGUUAGAGAAGAACAGCGCAUAGAGUAACUGUUAUGCGUGUGACGGUAUCUAACCAGAAAGCCACGGCUAACUACGUGCCAGCAGCCGCGGUAAUACGUAGGUGGCAAGCGUUGUCCGGAUUUAUUGGGCGUAAAGCGAGCGCAGGCGGUCAAUUAAGUCUGAUGUGAAAGCCCCCGGCUCAACCGGGGAGGGUCAUUGGAAACUGGUUGACUUGAGUGCAGAAGAGGGGAGUGGAAAUCCAUGUGUAGCGGUGAAAUGCGUUGAUAUAUGGAGGAACACCCGUGGCGAAGGCGACUCUCUGGUCUGUAACUGACGCUGAGGCUCGAAAGCGUGGGUAGCAAACAGG